UACGUAGGUGGCAAGCGUUGUCCGGAUUUACUGGGCGUAAAGAGCGCGCAGGCGGUCGUCCAAGUCGCGUGUGAAAGCCCCCGGCUCAACUGGGGAGGGUCACGCGAUACUGAUCGACUGGAAGGCAGGAGAGGGUAGUGGAAUUCCCGGUGUAGUGGUGAAAUGCGUAGAUAUCGGGAGGAACACCAGUGGCGAAGGCGACUACCUGGCCUGUUCUUGACGCUGAGGCGCGAAAGCUAGGGGAGCAAACAGG
This 253-nucleotide ribosomal RNA is filed under the name uncultured bacterium. RNAcentral's name for it is "partial 16S ribosomal RNA". It matches the Rfam family "Bacterial small subunit ribosomal RNA", at positions 524 to 776 of the family's 1533-position model. The record is from RNAcentral.